Pipra filicauda (Wire-tailed manakin) is the source of this 296-nucleotide long non-coding RNA. RefSeq lists it as uncharacterized. The record is from RefSeq and is a predicted model, not a curated record. Lineage: Eukaryota; Metazoa; Chordata; Aves; Passeriformes; Pipridae. The transcript is spliced from 3 exons.
UGUCAUUAACUAAGUUGUUUCUUUCCACAGGUGUGAUGCAAGAAGAAAUGAAAUUAUGGAGGCAUAAACUGUCUUCGGGAGGACUGUCACCAGGACACAGCUUCAUUGAGCAGAGUGACUGCAUGGGAAAGCCCCUUAUUCACAAAGUAGCAGGCUGCUUUGUAUCACAAACAUCCUCAGUUUCCACAGAAUAAUUGGGAUGGAAGUAGAACACAAGAAUAUGCAGUAUGUCAGUUUUUAGAACACACUUUUGAAGCCAUGCUUUCCCCUAGAAAAAGAAAAUUUGAAAUUGUAAC